Molecule: transfer RNA, 68 nt
Filed under: Nyctyornis amictus
Lineage: Eukaryota; Metazoa; Chordata; Aves; Coraciiformes; Meropidae
Description: tRNA-Cys
Source: RNAcentral
GGCCUUGCAGUGAAAGUUCAUAGUGAGUUGCAAACUCAUUGAUGUGUAUUAGAAGUACACCGGGGUCU